AGAGCUUUAACGUAAUUUUAUUCGCUUUCUCUUCCAGUUUAACUUAUCUAGUCUAUCUAGUCCCGUAGCUCAGGUGGUUAGAGCGCUACACUGAUAAUGUAGAGGUCCGCGGUUCAAGUCCGCGCGGGACUACAUUAUCGGAGAGACUUGCGGGUUAGGAGGCAGGAAAGACAGAGGGGGAUUAGCUCAGCUGGCUAGAGCGCCUGCCUUGCACGCAGGAGGUCGUCGGUUCGACUCCGACAUUCUCCACGACUCUUCUACAGUCUUCGUUUACGAAGGCGCCUGAAGGAUAAGUUCUUUGACAUGUUGGAAAAUCAAGUUUGUAAAUAAUUUUAAUUAAUUAUUUAAAAUAAUUUAAGUAGAAUAACAAGU
RNAcentral lists this transfer RNA (372 nucleotides) under uncultured Chitinophagaceae bacterium. Its description in RNAcentral is "16S-23S ribosomal RNA intergenic spacer". The stretch from base 59 to 132 matches the Rfam family "tRNA". Lineage: Bacteria; Pseudomonadati; Bacteroidota; Chitinophagia; Chitinophagales; Chitinophagaceae. The record is from RNAcentral.